RNAcentral lists this ribosomal RNA (274 nucleotides) under uncultured bacterium. RNAcentral's name for it is "partial 16S ribosomal RNA". It matches the Rfam family "Bacterial small subunit ribosomal RNA", at positions 523 to 796 of the family's 1533-position model. The record is from RNAcentral.
AGACGGGGGGUGCUAGCGUUGUUCGGAAUUACUGGGCGUAAAGGGCGCGUAGGCGGCUCUGCGAGUCGGGCGUGAAAUCCCGGGGCUCAACCCCGGAACGGCGCUCGAUACUGCGGGGCUGGAGACCGGAAGAGGAGGGUGGAAUUCCCAGUGUAGAGGUGAAAUUCGUAGAUAUUGGGAGGAACACCGGUGGCGAAAGCGGCUCUCUGGUCCGGUUCUGACGCUGAGGCGCGAAAGCGUGGGGAGCAAACAGGAUUAGAAACCCGAGUAGUCC